Molecule: ribosomal RNA, 253 nt
Filed under: uncultured bacterium
Lineage: Bacteria
Description: partial 16S ribosomal RNA
Rfam family: Bacterial small subunit ribosomal RNA
Source: RNAcentral
UACGUAGGGGGCAAGCGUUAUCCGGAUUUACUGGGUGUAAAGGGAGCGUAGACGGCAGAGCAAGUCUGAAGUGAAAGCCCGCGGCCCAACUGCGGGACUGCUUUGGAAACUGCCCGGUUAGAGUGCUGGAGAGGUAAGCGGAAUUCCUAGUGUAGCGGUGAAAUGCGUAGAUAUUAGGAGGAACACCAGUGGCGAAGGCGGCUUACUGGACAGUAACUGACGUUGAGGCUCGAAAGCGUGGGGAGCAAACAGG